AUGUAUUGUGGUAAAAUCCGUGAUGCUACCAUUGUGCUUGAGGCCGUAGCAUCGGAGGACACAUGGAUUUGGCAUGCAUUCUUUGGGUUGCCGGGAACACUCAAUGAUAUCAAUGUCCUCAAUAGAUCUCCUUUGUUCAAAAUAUUAAUUUCUGGGGAUGCUCCAGCUUGCAACUACAAAAUCAUGGACAAUGAGUACUCAAUGGGAUACUAUCUCACCGAUGGCAUCUAUCCCGAAUGGGCAACUCUUGUGAAGUCCAUCACGGAGAAAAAUGGGGUGCCCUUAACAAGAAAAGAGGCUCAUUUCACCAAGGCACAAGAGGCAGCCCGCAAGGAUAUU
This 339-nucleotide ribosomal RNA is filed under the name Triticum aestivum (bread wheat). RNAcentral describes it as "partial small subunit ribosomal RNA". Lineage: Eukaryota; Viridiplantae; Streptophyta; Magnoliopsida; Poales; Poaceae. The record is from RNAcentral.